This 930-nucleotide ribosomal RNA is filed under the name uncultured soil bacterium. RNAcentral describes it as "bacterial SSU rRNA". It matches the Rfam family "Bacterial small subunit ribosomal RNA", at positions 8 to 916 of the family's 1533-position model. The record is from RNAcentral.
AGAGUUUGAUCCUGGCUCAGAAUCAACGCUGGCGGCGUGCCUAACACAUGCAAGUCGAACGCGAAAGCCCCGCAAGGGGUAAGUAGAGUGGCAAACGGSUGAGUAACACGUGGGUGACCUGCCUUCGAGUGGGGGAUAACGUCCCGAAAGGGACGCUAAUNCCGCAUGACAUCCUGCUCUUGGACGAGCGGAGAUCAAAGCUGGGGAUCGCAAGACCUGGCGCUUGAAGAGGGGCCCGCGCCUGAUUAGCUAGUUGGUGAGGUAAUGGCUCACCAAGGCUACGAUCAGUAUCCGGCCUGAGAGGGCGGACGGACACACUGGGACUGAGACACGGCCCAGACUCCUACGGGAGGCAGCAGUGGGGAAUUGUUCGCAAUGGGCGCAAGCCUGACGACGCAACGCCGCGUGGAGGACGAAGAUCUUCGGGUCGUAAACUCCUGUCGAGCGGGAAGAAACCCAUGGGGAUGAAUAAUCUCUGUGGCUGACGGUACCGCUAAAGGAAGCCCCGGCUAACUCCGUGCCAGCAGCCGCGGUAAUACGGGGGGGGCAAGCGUUGUUCGGAAUUACUGGGCGUAAAGGGCUCGUAGGCGGCCAACUAAGUCGKAUGUGAAAUCCCCAGGCUUAACCUGGGAACUGCAUCCGAUACUGGAUGGCUUGAAUCCGGGAGAGGGAUGCAGAAUUCCAGGUGUAGCGGUGAAAUGCGUAGAUAUCUGGAGGAAUACCGGUGGCGAAGGCGGCAUCCUGGACCGGCAUUGACGCUGAUGAGCGAAAGCUAGGGGAGCAAACGGGAUUAGAUACCCCGGUAGUCCUAGCCCUAAACGAUGAAUGCUUGGUGUGACGGGUAUCGAUCCCUGUCGUGCCGAAGCUAACGCAUUAAGCAUUCCGCCUGGGGAGUACGGUCGCAAGGCUGAAACUUAAAGGAAUUGACGG